Molecule: ribosomal RNA, 492 nt
Filed under: uncultured bacterium
Lineage: Bacteria
Description: partial 16S ribosomal RNA
Rfam family: Bacterial small subunit ribosomal RNA
Source: RNAcentral
AGUGAACGCUGGCGGUAGGCCUAACACAUGCAAGUCGAACGGCAGCACAGUAAGAGCUUGCUCUUACGGGUGGCGAGUGGCGGACGGGUGAGGAAUACAUCGGAAUCUACUUUUUCGUGGGGGAUAACGUAGGGAAACUUACGCUAAUACCGCAUACGACCUACGGGUGAAAGCAGGGGAUCUUCGGACCUUGCGCGAUUGAAUGAGCCGAUGUCGGAUUAGCUAGUUGGCGGGGUAAAGGCCCACCAAGGCGACGAUCCGUAGCUGGUCUGAGAGGAUGAUCAGCCACACUGGAACUGCGACACGGUCCAGACUCCUACGGGCGGCAGCAGUGGGGAAUAUUGGACAAUGGGCGCAAGCCUGAUCCAGCCAUACCGCGUGGGUGAAGAAGGCCUUCGGGUUGUAAAGCCCUUUUGUUGGGAAAGAAAAGCAGCAGGUUAAUACCCCGCUGUUCUGACGGUACCCAAAGAAUAAGCACCGGCUAACUUCGUG